RNAcentral lists this ribosomal RNA (420 nucleotides) under uncultured bacterium. Its description in RNAcentral is "bacterial SSU rRNA". It matches the Rfam family "Bacterial small subunit ribosomal RNA", at positions 29 to 490 of the family's 1533-position model. The record is from RNAcentral.
AACGAACGCUGGCGGCAGGCUUAACACAUGCAAGUCGAACGCUUGGGAGCGAUCCCUUGAGUGGCAGACGGGUGAGUAACGCGUGGGAACAUACCCUUCGGUACGGAACAACUUGGGGAAACUCGAGCUAAUACCGUAUGCGGCCUAUGGGCGAAAGAUUGUAUCGCCGAAGGAUUGGCCCGCGUCCGAUUAGCUAGUUGGUGGGUAACGGCCCACCAAGGCGACGAUCGGUAGCUGGUCUGAGAGGAUGGCCAGCCACAUUGGGACUGAGACACGGCCCAAACUCCUACGGGAGGCAGCAGUGGGGAAUAUUGGACAAUGGGCGCAAGCCUGAUCCAGCCAUGCCGCGUGAGUGAUGAAGGCCUUAGGGUUGUAAAGCUCUUUCGCACGCGACGAUAAUGACGGUAGCGUGAGAAGAAG